This 497-nucleotide ribosomal RNA is filed under the name uncultured bacterium. Its description in RNAcentral is "partial 16S ribosomal RNA". It matches the Rfam family "Bacterial small subunit ribosomal RNA", at positions 28 to 507 of the family's 1533-position model. The record is from RNAcentral.
GAUGAACGCUGGCGGCGUGCCUAAUACAUGCAAGUCGAGCGAACGGACGAGAAGCUUGCUUUUCUGAUGUUAGCGGCGGACGGGUGAGUAACACGUGGAUAACCUACCUAUAAGACUGGGAUAACUUCGGGAAACCGAAGCUAAUACCGGAUAAUAUUUUGAACCGCAUGGUUCAAAAGUGAAAGACGGUCUUGCUGUCACUUAUAGAUGGAUCCGCGCUGCAUUAGCUAGUUGGUAAGGUAACGGCUUACCAAGGCAACGAUGCAUAGCCGACCUGAGAGGGUGAUCGGCCACACUGGAACUGAGACACGGUCCAGACUCCUACGGGAGGCAGCAGUAGGGAAUCUUCCGCAAUGGGCGAAAGCCUGACGGAGCAACGCCGCGCGAGUGAUGAAGGUCUUCGGAUCGUAAAACUCUGUUAUUAGGGAAGAACAUAUGUGUAAGUAACUGUGCACAUCUUGACGGUACCUAAUCAGAAAGCCACGGCUAACUACGUG